This 465-nucleotide ribosomal RNA is filed under the name Vreelandella stevensii. RNAcentral describes it as "partial 16S ribosomal RNA". It matches the Rfam family "Bacterial small subunit ribosomal RNA", at positions 338 to 795 of the family's 1533-position model. The record is from RNAcentral. Lineage: Bacteria; Pseudomonadati; Pseudomonadota; Gammaproteobacteria; Oceanospirillales; Halomonadaceae.
CCUACGGGUGGCUGCAGUGGGGAAUAUUGGACAAUGGGGGAAACCCUGAUCCAGCCAUGCCGCGUGUGUGAAGAAGGCCCUCGGGUUGUAAAGCACUUUCAGUGAGGAAGAACGCCUGGUGGUUAAUACCCAUCAGGAAAGACAUCACUCACAGAAAAAGCACCGGCUAACUCCGUGCCAGCAGCCGCGGUAAUACGGAGGGUGCGAGCGUUAAUCGGAAUUACUGGGCGUAAAGCGCGCGUAGGUGGCUUGAUAAGCCGGUUGUGAAAGCCCCGGGCUCAACCUGGGAACGGCAUCCGGAACUGUGCGGCUAGAGUGCAGAAGAGGAAGGUAGAAUUCCCGGUGUAGCGGUGAAAUGCGUAGAGAUCGGGAGGAAUACCAGUGGCGAAGGCGGCCUUCUGGACUGACACUGACGCUGAGGUGCGAAAGCGUGGGUAGCAAACAGGAUUAGAUACCCCGGUAGUC